Molecule: ribosomal RNA, 504 nt
Filed under: uncultured bacterium
Lineage: Bacteria
Description: partial 16S ribosomal RNA
Rfam family: Bacterial small subunit ribosomal RNA
Source: RNAcentral
ACGAACGCUGGCGGCGUGCCUAAUACAUGCAGGUAGAACGCACAGUUUAUACCGUAGCUUGCUACACCAUAGACUGUGAGUUGCGAACGGGUGAGUAACGCGUAGGUAACCUGCCUGGUAGCGGGGGAUAACUAUUGGAAACGAUAGCUAAUACCGCAUAAUAUUAAUUAUUGCAUGAUAAUUAAUUGAAAGGUGCAAUUGCACCACUACCAGAUGGACCUGCGUUGUAUUAGCUAGUAGGUGAGGUAACGGCUCACCUAGGCGACGAUACAUAGCCGACCUGAGAGGGUGAUCGGCCACACUGGGACGGAGACACGCCCCAGACCCCUAGGGGGGGCAGCAGUAGGGAAUCUUGGGCAAGGGACGAAAGUCUGACCGAGCAACGCCGCGUGAGUGAAGAAGGUUUUCGGAUCGUAAAGCUCGGUUGUAAGAGAAGAACGGGUGUGAGAGUGGAAAGUUCACACUGUGACGGUAUCUUACCAGAAAGGGACGGCUAACUACGUG